Molecule: ribosomal RNA, 428 nt
Filed under: uncultured bacterium
Lineage: Bacteria
Description: bacterial SSU rRNA
Rfam family: Bacterial small subunit ribosomal RNA
Source: RNAcentral
UGGGGAAUAUUGGACAAUGGGCGCAAGCCUGAUCCAGCAAUGCCGCGUGUGUGAAGAAGGCCUGCGGGUUGUAAAGCACUUUCAGUGGGGAGGAAGGCCUCGAUGUUAAUAGUAUCGAGGAUUGACGUUACCUACAGAAGAAGCACCGGCUAACUCUGUGCCAGCAGCCGCGGUAAUACAGAGGGUGCAAGCGUUAAUCGGAAUUACUGGGCGUAAAGGGCGCGUAGGUGGUUAAUUAAGUCAGAUGUGAAAUCCCUGGGCUUAACUUAGGAAUUGCAUAUGAAACUGAUUGGCUAGAGUGCGGGAGAGGGAAGUGGAAUUUCCGGUGUAGCGGUGAAAUGCGUAGAUAUCGGAAGGAACACCAGUGGCGAAGGCGACUUCCUGGCCCGUUACUAACACUGAGGCGCGAAAGCGUGGGGAGCGAACAG